This 427-nucleotide ribosomal RNA is filed under the name uncultured bacterium. RNAcentral's name for it is "partial 16S ribosomal RNA". It matches the Rfam family "Bacterial small subunit ribosomal RNA", at positions 355 to 774 of the family's 1533-position model. The record is from RNAcentral.
UGGGGAAUAUUGGACAAUGGGCGAAAGCCUGAUCCAGCCAUGCCGCGUGUGUGAAGAAGGUCUUCGGAUUGUAAAGCACUUUAAGUUGGGAGGAAGGGCAUUAACCUAAUACGUUAGUGUUUUGACGUUACCGACAGAAUAAGCACCGGCUAACUCUGUGCCAGCAGCCGCGGUAAUACAGAGGGUGCAAGCGUUAAUCGGAAUUACUGGGCGUAAAGUGCGCGUAGGUGGUUUGUUAAGUUGGAUGUGAAAGCCCCGGGCUCAACCUGGGAACUGCAUCCAAAACUGGCAAGCUAGAGUACGGUAGAGGGUGGUGGAAUUUCCUGUGUAGCGGUGAAAUGCGUAGAUAUAGGAAGGAACACCAGUGGCGAAGGCGACCACCUGGACUAAUACUGACACUGAGGUGCGAAAGCGUGGGGAGCAAACA